This is a long non-coding RNA of Gossypium arboreum, 1070 nucleotides long. RefSeq lists it as uncharacterized. Lineage: Eukaryota; Viridiplantae; Streptophyta; Magnoliopsida; Malvales; Malvaceae. The record is from RefSeq and is a predicted model, not a curated record. The transcript has 2 exons.
AGAAAAAACUCAUUAAACCAUCUACUACGGUCUGUUAAAAGCCAUUUAAGGCCCUUGUCCUCUAAUCCUAAUAAAAAACUCUUUACAAGAGUAACUCCUAAAAACACAAAAGAAAACCCUUUAGAAAUCCUAAAAAGCAGAACAUAACAAUCAAACAAAAAAACCGGUGGGUAAACAAGCCGUUAGCCUCAUUCUUUGCCCCUUUCCUCUCUUCAUCAGCAUUUGAAAAAGGAGUGAAUCUACCCCAUUUCUAGUGAAGUUAUUUCUUGAACUCUUGCUCUGAUUCUUCUCUUCUGUAACUUUGAGUUUUAAUCGCACUUCGUUCUUAUAUCUUUGUCAUUUUACUCAGAAAAAUUUAACACUUCUUCUCUACUCAUACUCCCUCUAUCCAAAUCUACUAUUCUUACGACUUUUUCUGGUGCUUCUUCAACCCAGAACGUCGGUGAGUCUUGAGCCAUUUUGUGUACAGCUCGAUUUGCUGUUCGAGGAUCUUUGACCUAAAGGAUAGAAGGUUGGGAAGCGACGUGGCAGAUCAGCCAAAUUCUCCCAGGUAGCAUCCUCUAGAAACAAAUUUGCCCAUUCGACCAAUACCUCGGUCGUUGCCUAAUUUCCCCUCUUUACCAAUCUCCUAUCUAUAAUCCGGACUGGCUCCUUUGGAAGGGUCUCAUCCCAAUCCAUUGCUAGUAGUACAGGUUGAACUGUGUUGAAGCUGAUCUCCAUGUAGCUGGUAUGAAGCAAGUGCAGCUGGAAGCUGGCCAUGCAAGCUCGUGACAAGCAUGCAGCAACCUUGGUUUUGUGUUGCUGUUAGAUUUGAACUAAUAUUUUGUUCAUUUUAAAGUCUAGUUUGCUAUAAGCUUUUUGAUUGAUGUAAUUUGAUGUUGAUGGAGCUGUUAACCAGCUUUGUGUUAAUGUACAAGUUAAGUUUUUGUUAUUUGAAAAGCUUAGUGGAAGUAGGUGUAUGUUUAGGUAGAAAUUUGACUUGUAAGUUUUUUUUUAUUAUUUUUGAUAUAUGUAAUGGCUAUCUGCCUAUGAUGGAUGUAUGAAAAAAUACAAUUCAUUUUUUUCAUCAA